UUGAACGCUAGCGGGAUGCCUUACACAUGCAAGUCGAACGGCAGCACGGACUUCGGUCUGGUGGCGAGUGGCGAACGGGUGAGUAAUAUAUCGGAACGUGCCCAGUAGCGGGGGAUAACUACGCGAAAGCGUAGCUAAUACCGCAUACGCCCCACGGGGGAAAGCAGGGGAUCGCAAGACCUUGCACUAUUGGAGCGGCCGAUAUCGGAUUAGCUAGUUGGUGAGGUAAUGGCUCACCAAGGCGACGAUCCGUAGCUGGUUUGAGAGGACGACCAGCCACACUGGGACUGAGACACGGCCCAGACUCCUACGGGAGGCAGCAGUGGGGAAUUUUGGACAAUGGGGGAAACCCUGAUCCAGCCAUCCCGCGUGUGCGAUGAAGGCCUUCGGGUUGUAAAGCACUUUUGGCAGGAAAGAAAUGGCGUGUGUUAAUACCAUGCGCAGAUGACGGUACCUGCAGAAUAAGCACCGGCUAACUACGU
Molecule: ribosomal RNA, 482 nt
Filed under: uncultured bacterium
Lineage: Bacteria
Description: bacterial SSU rRNA
Rfam family: Bacterial small subunit ribosomal RNA
Source: RNAcentral